AUCCGCUCCGUUUUAUUUAGAUCAACAAAAAUUCUGAUCUAUAUGUGUUUCCGGAUUAAUCAGAUAUCAAUAUCGGAAAACAAAUCGAAGCAUUUGCCUAACCAUGUCAAAAUACAAUCAAGUUGACUUAUACGAAGUCUAGGUGACAUGAGAGAGAUGGAGCACUAAGAGAGGUAAGGAGUAACGAGUUCCACGUCCUUACGAAUAAGA
Long non-coding RNA from Arabidopsis thaliana (thale cress), 210 nucleotides. RefSeq annotates it as other RNA. The transcript has a single exon. Lineage: Eukaryota; Viridiplantae; Streptophyta; Magnoliopsida; Brassicales; Brassicaceae. The record is from RefSeq.